AGCGAACGCUGGCGGUAGGCUUAACACAUGCAAGUCGAACGGCAGCACACUACGAGCUUGCUGUUACGGGUUGCGAAUCGCGGAAGGGAGAGGUAAAUAACCGACUCUACUUUUUGGGGGGGGUUCACGAAGGGAAACUUAAGCUCAUACCGCAUACGAUCUAGCGGUGAAAGCAGGGGAAAUUCGGAGCUUGUGCGAAUGAACGAGCCGCUGACGGACUAGCUAGUUGGCGGGGUAAUGACCCACCAAGGCGACGAUCCGUAGCUGGUGUGAGUGGAUGAUCAGCCACACUGGAACGUAGACACGGUCCAUACUCCUACGGGAGGCAGCAGUGGGGAAUAGUGGACAGUGGGCGCAAGCCUGAUCCAGCCAUACCGCGUGGGUGAAGAAGGCCUUCGGUUUGUAAAGCCCUUUUGUUGGGAAAGAAAAGCAUCAGGUUAAUACCCCGCUGUUCUGACGGUACCCAAAGAAUAAGCACCGGCUAACUUCGUG
Molecule: ribosomal RNA, 492 nt
Filed under: uncultured bacterium
Lineage: Bacteria
Description: partial 16S ribosomal RNA
Rfam family: Bacterial small subunit ribosomal RNA
Source: RNAcentral